Ataeniobius toweri is the source of this 73-nucleotide non-coding RNA. The record is from the annotation of a GenBank genome assembly. Lineage: Eukaryota; Metazoa; Chordata; Actinopteri; Cyprinodontiformes; Goodeidae.
GUUUCUGUAGCAUAGUGGUUAUUAGAUUUGCUUAAGAUGCAAAAGGUCUCUGGUUUGAAACCAGUCAGGAACA